Molecule: long non-coding RNA, 148 nt
Organism: Cervus elaphus (red deer)
Lineage: Eukaryota; Metazoa; Chordata; Mammalia; Artiodactyla; Cervidae
Exons: 3
Source: RefSeq, a predicted model, not a curated record
UUCUCUGUAUCUUUUACAAUGAGCUUCCCUGGUCAUUCAGGUGGCAAAGAAUCCGCCUUCAAUGUGGGAGACCUGGGUUUGAUCCCUGGAUUGGGAAGAUCCCCUGGAGGAGGGCAUGGUAUCCCACUUCAGUAUUCUUGUCUGGUGA